Molecule: ribosomal RNA, 381 nt
Filed under: uncultured bacterium
Lineage: Bacteria
Description: bacterial SSU rRNA
Rfam family: Bacterial small subunit ribosomal RNA
Source: RNAcentral
UACGUAGGGUGCAAGCGUUAAUCGGAAUUACUGGGCGUAAAGCGUGCGCAGGCGGUUCGGAAAGAAAGAUGUGAAAUCCCAGAGCUUAACUUUGGAACUGCAUUUUUAACUACCGGGCUAGAGUGUGUCAGAGGGAGGUGGAAUUCCGCGUGUAGCAGUGAAAUGCGUAGAUAUGCGGAGGAACACCGAUGGCGAAGGCAGCCUCCUGGGAUAACACUGACGCUCAUGCACGAAAGCGUGGGGGAGCAAACAGGAUUAGAUACCCUGGUAGUCCACGCCCUAAACGAUGUCAACUAGCUGUUGGGGCCUUCGGGCCUUGGUAGCGCAGCUAACGCGUGAAGUUGACCGCCUGGGGAGUACGGUCGCAAGAUUAAAACUCAA